GCUGCCAGACACUGGGGCGAGCUGGCAGAGGCGGGGCGGGUGGUGGUUUCCUCAGAGUUUUUCCCUUGAGGGUGGACUCUCCCUGUGGGGAAGGACACCGAGUGUGUGUCUCGCCUUCGCUGCCACCUCCUUAUUCCCUGACUAUCCUCUUGCGAGGAGGAGGUUCGUCAUCUUCGUCGUCGCAUCCAGCAGCUGCUACAGCCAGUGCCACGUGCCUUGUAAGGAACCCACAACACUAAUGACAUCAUUCAUAUGCCAUAAACUUCUCAGCAAUUCCUAAGGUUACCCACAUAGCUUCCAGUUAUUAAAAUAUCAGUAGCUACUUGAAGACAAGAACUAUAUCAUUCUUAUAAAACCUUCAGCAAUGUACUGUGAUCAUUGACUGAUACAUGGCAUCAUGGAAAUCAAUCCAAAUCAAUUGGUAAAGAUCUAAUUCAAAUGCAUACUUUUAAUGACUGCUUACGAUUCCAUGUUGUGGAUAUGCUGCAGUUUAUUCAACUCUUCACAAAUAGGUCCUUCUGAGUCUUUCCCAUGCUACGCGGAAGCCAAACACAGCCCAGGGGCAUUAACUCGGACUUUGAGCUUAACUCUGCUAAGUGGCCACUGCCAGAAAAGGGGUGCUGAGGACACUGAAGAGAUUCCAUGCUAAGUGCUGGCGGUAUCAAAUAAGACACAGGCUUGUACUCUGAAGAUGAGUUUCUGCCAUCGCAAAGACUAUAUGGAAACGGGAGAUAAGGGUAUUAAAAAAGGACACCUAUUUGAAAUCUUGUAGCAACACCUGUGGCCUCUCGUUGUAUAGAUAGAAUUUUAGGCAUAUUAGAACGGAAUUCUGCACUUUUUUUGCCGAUCCAAGAGGAACAUUAUCUACUCUCAUUGUACAAAAGAGACCUCUAAGUUGAAGAUGUUGAAUCAGUUGCAAGAAUUACAGGCUACCUGCUUGCUGCUGGUCUGGGAUGUGGCUGCUUAAAGAGUGAAAUCUCAUGACAUGCAGUGGUUAUACCCAGGUGCUGGUGUGAAUGGUCACUCUCCUGCCUGGCUGGAAGGUCCCUGGAGUGGGAUCUGUGGCAGCAGAAUUCUCCCAUUCUCUGGGUGCUGAGGAUACGGAUGUUACUGGAGAAGGAUGCUGUGGAUUGACAAGUCAGCCAGAGGGAUCAUUCACUCUGAGAAAGCCAGCUGCCACAUCAUGAAGACCCUCUGACUGUUCUAUGAAGAAACUCCCAUGACAAGGAUCUAAGGCCUUGUGCCAAAAGCCAUGAGAGGGAGCAUCUUGGAACUGAUCCUCUAGACCCAGCCUUCACGGGACUGCAGACUGCAAGGCAACAGCUUAACUGGGAGGCCCUGAGUUGGAACCACCCAACUACCCAACUGUGCUGCUCUGGGAUCCCUGACCCUCAGAGACUUGCCUUCAGUGUUGGUGCUAACUGCACGUCCUGGCCACCCGAUGGAUGCCGUGUGGUUCCUGAGAAAGCAUCUGUAAGAGGAGGCACUACCCAUUCACCAGCCCACUGGCUCUCACCAUUUAUGGAAUUGCCUUGGCUACUCAAGGGAACAGAUGUUCCCUGGGGUUGUGACCCACUGCUCCUGCAUUUAGCCUCCUGGCUGGCUGCUUGCUUGCUUGGACUCAGCCCAGUACAGAUGGCAUCACUGCUAAAUCAGAGAGGAUGACACUCGGUUUCCUGGUCCUCCUUCAAGUUGCUACUUUGCUGGCACUCAGAGACCUCUAACUCCUUAUGGAAGGUGUGAUAUUGCGGAGAAAGGAAGUAACACCAGUGUGAGUUAAAAGGUCAAGGUGUUCCCAGUCUUGGAACACUGGGGUGUGGUUCUCUGCAAAAUAUUGCUGUUGUCAAGCUGUCUGCCUGUGAGACUACAUAGGACAACAGGGAGCUUUUUGCUUAUCAUCUUUCAAAGGAUCCAGCAUUAAAGACACUCCAUCAGAAGCAGUGAAACAUUUAGUGCCGCUGUCUUACCCCUGUGGCUCACUAGGGGACCCAGCCUGGGUACUUUAUUACCUUCUAUGCAGAUAUAUUGAAAUGAGAUGCUUAUUACCCUAGGUACAUAUGCUCAUUCACUCUCUGGGCUGGAAUUGUCUUCCUAAGGGUCAUAAGGGAACAAUUUUUCUCUCUUAAUGCUCCCAGAUUUGCAAGAUUUUAACUCUACAUGGCUUUAUGACAUGUAUUUAGCUUAAAGGCAGGUAAAACAAAUUAAAAAAAAAAAAACUUGCACCACUAGAGAAGAAAGGAAAAAGCAUUAAAAUAUAAGCAGACAAUUUACAAUGUAGGAAGAAGAGUAGAAUUUCUUUUGUUGCUGAUGGCCUAUGUAGUACUUCUUUGAAUGUCCCUUUCUAUGGACUGAAGCAAUUGCUCAUUUGUACUGAGGAAAGGUGCUUCAGAUUAAUUUUGGAAACUUCAAUACCGCACUGUGCUAAAUUUUAAUUAUUUCACUUCCUGCUUGGUAUAUUAAUGUUGUGAUUACCCUUGAAAGUGUAUUACCAAUGAUGAUUUAUGCAAAACCCAGCUAGCUCCACAGCUCCGUCAGUUUCAAUUAAGACCAGCCACAGAGGAAGUGGGCUAUGGUCGUGUUGGCUGCAGACCAUCAUUAUGCUCACAAGCAGGUACGGUCCGUUUGCUUAAAGCAUUACCUUUGUUUAUCCUUCUGGAACCAUCUCUCCCAUGGCACGACUAACCACUGAGAGAGGAAACUGUAUGUAGCAAUUUGGUCUGCUGGCCUUGGAUCCAAACUGAAUCUGGCCAGGAAAAUGAAUUUUAUCUCUGCUUCUCUGCUUAUAUAGGACAUUUUAGGCCA
Non-coding RNA from Odocoileus virginianus texanus, 2802 nucleotides. The record is from RefSeq and is a predicted model, not a curated record. NCBI's taxonomy places the organism in Eukaryota, Metazoa, Chordata, Mammalia, Artiodactyla, Cervidae.